UACGAAGGGGGCUAGCGUUGCUCGGAAUGACUGGGCGUAAAGGGCGCGUAGGCGGCUUGGCAAGUGGAAGGUGAAAUCCCUCGGCUUAACCGAGGAACUGCCCUCCAAACUGCUUCGCUUGAGACCGGGAGAGGUGAGUGGAAUUCCCAGUGUAGCGGUGAAAUGCGUAGAUAUUGGGAGGAACACCAGUGGCGAAGGCGGCUCACUGGACCGGUACUGACGCUGAUGCGCGAAAGCGUGGGGAGCAAACGGG
RNAcentral lists this ribosomal RNA (253 nucleotides) under uncultured bacterium. RNAcentral's name for it is "partial 16S ribosomal RNA". It matches the Rfam family "Bacterial small subunit ribosomal RNA", at positions 524 to 776 of the family's 1533-position model. The record is from RNAcentral.